This 487-nucleotide ribosomal RNA is filed under the name uncultured bacterium. RNAcentral's name for it is "partial 16S ribosomal RNA". It matches the Rfam family "Bacterial small subunit ribosomal RNA", at positions 27 to 507 of the family's 1533-position model. The record is from RNAcentral.
GAUUGACCGCUGGCGGCAUGCCUUCCACAUGCAAGUCGAACGGCAGCACGGGUGCUUGCACCUGGUGGCGAGUGGCGAACGGGUGAGUAAUACAUCGGAACAUGUCCUGUAGUGGGGGAUAGCCCGGCGAAAGCCGGAUUAAUACCGCAUACGAUCUACGGAUGAAAGCGGGGGACCUUCGGGCCUCGCGCUAUAGGGUUGGCCGAUGGCUGAUUAGCUAGUUGGUGGGGUAAAGGCCUACCAAGGCGACGAUCAGUAGCUGGUCUGAGAGGACGACCAGCCACACUGGGACUGGGACACGGCCCAGACUCCUACGGGAGGCAGCAGUGGGGAAUUUUGGACAAUGGGCGAAAGCCUGAUCCAGCAAUGCCGCGUGUGUGAAGAAGGCCUUCGGGUUGUAAAGCACUUUUGUCCGGAAAGAAAUCCUUGGCUCUAAUACAGUCGGGGGAUGACGGUACCGGAAGAAUAAGCACCGGCUAACUACGUG